UACGAAGGGGGCAAGCGUUGUCCGGAAUCACUGGGCGUAAAGCGCACGUAGGCGGCUCGUUAAGUCUGGGGUGAAAUCCCGGAGCUCAACUCCAGAACUGCCUUUGAUACUGGCGAUCUUGAGUCCGGGAGAGGUGAGUGGAACUCCGAGUGUAGAGGUGAAAUUCGUAGAUAUCAGGAGGAACACCAAUGGCGAAGGCGGCUCGCUGGAACGGUACUGACGCUGAGGCGCGAAAGCGUGGGGAGCAAACAGG
RNAcentral lists this ribosomal RNA (253 nucleotides) under uncultured bacterium. RNAcentral describes it as "partial 16S ribosomal RNA". It matches the Rfam family "Bacterial small subunit ribosomal RNA", at positions 524 to 776 of the family's 1533-position model. The record is from RNAcentral.